Molecule: ribosomal RNA, 450 nt
Filed under: uncultured bacterium
Lineage: Bacteria
Description: bacterial SSU rRNA
Rfam family: Bacterial small subunit ribosomal RNA
Source: RNAcentral
UUCCAGACUCCUACGGGAGGCAGCAGUGGGGGAUAUUGCACAAUGGGGGGAACCCUGAUGCAGCGACGCCGCGUGGGUGAAGAAGUAUUUCGGUAUGUAAAGCCCUAUCGGCAGGGAAGAAAUUGGACGGUACCUGACUAAGAAGCCCUGGCUAACUACGUGCCAGCAGCCGCGGUAAUACGUAGGGGGCAAGCGUUAUCCGGAUUCACUGGGUGUAAAGGGAGCGUAGACGGCCAUGCAAGCCUGGAGUGAAAGCCCGGGGCCCAACCCCGGGACUGCUCUGGGAACUGUGCGGCUGGAGUGCGGGAGGGGCAGGCGGAAUUCCUGGUGUAGCGGUGAAAUGCGUAGAUAUCAGGAGGAACACCGGCGGCGAAGGCGGCCUGCUGGACCGCGACUGACGUUGAGGCUCGAAAGCGUGGGGAGCAAACAGGAUUAGAUACCCUGGUAACC